RNAcentral lists this ribosomal RNA (264 nucleotides) under uncultured bacterium. RNAcentral's name for it is "partial small subunit ribosomal RNA". It matches the Rfam family "Bacterial small subunit ribosomal RNA", at positions 26 to 285 of the family's 1533-position model. The record is from RNAcentral.
AGAAUGAACGCUGGCGGCGUGCUUAACACAUGCAAGUCGAACGGAAUCCAAGGAGCUUGCUCUGGAAGAUUUAGUGGCGAACGGGUGAGUAACACGUGGGUGAUCUGCCCUGCACUUUGGGAUAAGCCUGGGAAACUGGGUCUAAUACCGAAUACACCCUGCUGGUCGCAUGGCCUGGUGGGGGAAAGCUUUUGCGGUGUGGGAUGGGCCCGCGGCCUAUCAGCUUGUUGGUGGGGUGAUGGCCUACCAAGGCGACGACGGGUA